AGUCUGCUGAUGAAGAAGAAGGUGCUGAAAAAAUCGAAUUGGAAGAUUUGGUUUGCGAGAAGGCUGUACUUGAAGGCAAGGAUGACCGUGGUGAACCUUGUGUUAUUGUUUCUUCCGAACACGUUGAUGUUAUCUCUCCGAAUUUUGAGGUUUCGCGACAAAGCGAGUUGAAUUUAAAAUCUCCACCAGAUGACACCAUCAAUCAGACUAAAAAAAAUGCAAGUGAAUCGAUUGCUGAAUUCAAAUCAAAGGAGUCUGGUCCUUCUUCAAGCCGCUUCAUACCGACGCAAACUGGUUGUAAAGUCCGUAUUUGUC
This is a long non-coding RNA of Mercurialis annua (annual mercury), 315 nucleotides long. RefSeq lists it as uncharacterized. The record is from RefSeq and is a predicted model, not a curated record. Lineage: Eukaryota; Viridiplantae; Streptophyta; Magnoliopsida; Malpighiales; Euphorbiaceae. The transcript has 3 exons.